This 1396-nucleotide ribosomal RNA is filed under the name Streptomyces zagrosensis. Its description in RNAcentral is "Streptomyces sp. UTMC1154 Bacterial large subunit ribosomal RNA". It matches the Rfam family "Bacterial large subunit ribosomal RNA", at positions 1554 to 2925 of the family's 2925-position model. The record is from Rfam by way of RNAcentral. Lineage: Bacteria; Bacillati; Actinomycetota; Actinomycetes; Kitasatosporales; Streptomycetaceae.
GGGUGAGACCUGAUGCCGAGCCGAUUGUGGUGAAGUGGAUGAUCCUAUGCUGUCGAGAAAAGCCUCUAGCGAGUUUCAUGGCGGCCCGUACCCUAAACCGACUCAGGUGGUCAGGUAGAGAAUACCGAGGCGUUCGGGUGAACUAUGGUUAAGGAACUCGGCAAAAUGCCCCCGUAACUUCGGGAGAAGGGGGGCCAUUUCCGGUGAUCCUAUUUACUGGGUGAGCUGGGGGUGGCCGCAGAGACCAGCGAGAAGCGACUGUUUACUAAAAACACAGGUCCGUGCGAAGCCGUAAGGCGAUGUAUACGGACUGACGCCUGCCCGGUGCUGGAACGUUAAGGGGACCGGUUAGUCAUCCUUUUGGGGGUGGCGAGGCUGAGAACUUAAGCGCCAGUAAACGGCGGUGGUAACUAUAACCAUCCUAAGGUAGCGAAAUUCCUUGUCGGGUAAGUUCCGACCUGCACGAAUGGCGUAACGACUUCUCGACUGUCUCAACCAUAGGCCCGGUGAAAUUGCAUUACGAGUAAAGAUGCUCGUUUCGCGCAGCAGGACGGAAAGACCCCGGGACCUUUACUAUAGCUUGAUAUUGGUGUUCGGUUCGGCUUGUGUAGGAUAGGUGGGAGACUGUGAAGCAUGCACGCCAGUGUGUGUGGAGUCGUUGUUGAAAUACCACUCUGGUCGUGCUGGAUGUCUAACCUGGGUCCGUGAUCCGGAUCAGGGACAGUGUCUGGUGGGUAGUUUAACUGGGGCGGUUGCCUCCUAAAGAGUAACGGAGGCGCCCAAAGGUUCCCUCAGCCUGGUUGGCAAUCAGGUGUUGAGUGUAAGUGCACAAGGGAGCUUGACUGUGAGACUGACGGGUCGAGCAGGGACGAAAGUCGGGACUAGUGAUCCGGCGGUGGCUUGUGGAAGCGCCGUCGCUCAACGGAUAAAAGGUACCCCGGGGAUAACAGGCUGAUCUUCCCCAAGAGUCCAUAUCGACGGGAUGGUUUGGCACCUCGAUGUCGGCUCGUCGCAUCCUGGGGCUGGAGUCGGUCCCAAGGGUUGGGCUGUUCGCCCAUUAAAGCGGUACGCGAGCUGGGUUUAGAACGUCGUGAGACAGUUCGGUCCCUAUCCGCUGUGCGCGUAGGAGUCUUGAGAAGGGCUGUCCCUAGUACGAGAGGACCGGGACGGACGAACCUCUGGUGUGCCAGUUGUCCUGCCAAGGGCAUGGCUGGUUGGCUACGUUCGGGAGGGAUAACCGCUGAAAGCAUCUAAGCGGGAAGCCUGCUUCGAGAUGAGGACUCCCACCCACUUGAUGGGUUAAGGCUCCCAGUAGACGACUGGGUUGAUAGGCCAGAUAUGGAAGCCUCGUAAGAGGUGGAGUUGACUGGUACUAAUAGGCCGAGGGCUUGUCCUC